Paramuricea clavata is the source of this 1056-nucleotide non-coding RNA. The record is from the annotation of a GenBank genome assembly. NCBI's taxonomy places the organism in Eukaryota, Metazoa, Cnidaria, Anthozoa, Malacalcyonacea, Plexauridae.
GUGGAUAUAUUGAAAAGACUGAAAAAUACACUGUUUACAUCAAUUGAUUGAAUGUUAUAUUUUUCUUCGAUUUCUACAAUUCAAUGUUAUCUGCUGUUAUAAAUCAUAUUCUAUUUUUGCCUCCUUUGCAGGCAACUCUGUAUUGUUUUGGAUAACAGGUUUUUAACUCUUAUUUGUUUUGUAUUGUAAAUGCAUUUUGUAAAUGAUCAAACUUUGGCCAAGCUUCAAGCAAAAUAGUUUUAGGCCUGGGGAAAGCAAAACAUGGGAGGAAAAAAUCCCAAAUAUAAAACCUAUUAUACAAAACAAUACAGAGUUGCCUGUGGAAGAGGCUAAUUCUACUUAAAUAUUAACCCAGAACUCUCCCUUUGACAAGUAAAAUCAUCUUGCAUUAGACAGAAAAUGAUAACAUAGGGUGCAAUGUGACUCAAUGGGUUAACUAGACAUGUACGUACAUCAUGGGCAGAUAGACGAGUUAACCCACUAAGUGCCAGCACUCUCCCCUUGACGAGUAAAAUUGUAUAGCAUUCGCACUCUCCCCUUGACGAGUAAAAUUGUAUAGCAUUAGACAGAGUAAAAUAAUCUGGCGUUAGACAGAGUAAAAUAAUAAAGUAGGGUGCAUCAGUGCACAAUGCGACUCAAUGGGUUAGAGAUGAACAGACGGUCAAGUCUGUUCUGCACAUAUGUACCUUCUGAUGUAAACAAUUGGUAACAUCAAGGUGUUAUACAUAGGGUUAUACAAGGGUUAUACAUGGUGGUCAACAUUACAUGUAUCAACACUAAUGACUUGGAGAGUGAGCAAAUGAGGCUAAAUUGCAUGUAUUCACCAGCAAACACAAAGUCAAGACAUAUAGUGAACAAUUUACUCACACCGGUAACUGUGUUUCCUUUUAGAGUUGACCACCAUGUGCCGAGAUGUUGCAUCACAACAAAUGAAAGUAAAGAAUACCCAACUUUCACAUUGUUUCGGCAUCUCAUUCAGAAACUCUAAUCAAAAUUCAUUUAAAGAAUAGCAACCUGAAUGAUGUUAAAUAUGAACUAUGUACAUCAUAUUUUUUU